GGGCCUUCCCCACGUACGAUUUCUCCCGUGCAACUGAACUUGUUUACAUGAGAUGAGACUAGCCAAAGCAAAAGAAAGUACCCGCAGAGCUUUUGAAAAGCCAUGGAUAAAAGCCCUGAUGGAAGAGUUUGUUGUGAGCUUGUGUCUCCUGGAUUUGAGUCUCAGCUUGACUACUAACAUUCCGUGUUGCGUAAAGUGAGGAUGUGGCCUGCUCCAAGCUUUUCAAAAACACCAAGGCAGAGUUUUCGCCCUCUUCCUCCUGCCUACACAAGAUGCUGAUCAGCAAAGCCUCAUUUCCUGCUCAUAACAAAGCCUGUACCUGAGCAAAAAUGAAUCUCCCCAAACCACAUUUAAAACACCCAGCUCUCUGCACUUCGUUUUACAAACAAGUAAACCCACCCAGUAGGGAAAGCUGCUUCUAGCAGUGCAGGCUCACAAACCCCAGGCGUUCCCCUUAGUAACUGUGCUAAUUAUAACUCCCGCUACCUGGUAACAACCCUGGCUUCCCAGGUAUUGGCUGAAGCCGUCUCAGCCUUGCUAGUACUGCCUACCCUAAGCAGCCAUCAGGGGAGAGAGAGUGAGAGAGAGAAAACGACCAGCCUCACAGACCUCCAGGGUCAGUCCAGGUCCAGCUCUGCAUGUUAAACAGUCAUGGGGGCUCAGAAACAGUGGCUUGACCUAGCUAGGAAUCUUAGUCCUAUCCGGUCUCUCCUCCCAGUCGGUCACGAACUCCUCUAGGUAUUUUAUCUCCCUUUUCUCUGCCCACUGCCCUACCCUCAGUCCAUCAGUUUUGUUUGCUCAGUCUGUCCUACUCCCCUACCCACCAGAGGGAUGGAGCAUGUUCCCUGAAGUUUACAGCUCUUCACUGGUGUCAGCAUUUAGGCAGCCUGAUCCUGGCUUAACCUAUGAUGUCAUCAUUGGUUACCACCUACAGGGGCCUGGGAUAAAAGGACUCCUGCCUCUUACCUCUGUGCUCUGCUCUUGCUCUUCCUCUCUCUUGCUCUCUCCCUCUCUCCUACUCUCUCCCCUUUCUCAGUGGCACUCCACUUCCCCCCACGUCUCUCUCUCCUUCCCUCUCUCUCUCCAUCUUCAUCCAAUAAACCUCUUUCAUAUAGUAUCUGUUGUGCAUAUCAUUUUUAACAACUGGCUCCUACAAAAAGGCACAAUUAAGACUGUCCUACAUACACACCAGUCUCUUCCUAUGCCUAGUACUUAAAUCCAGCAACACAAAACAACUUCUGAUCCUAUCCACGCAUCCAGCAAUUCAUUUGCCUCUAUGCUUCCGCUUGUGACAAACCCUCUUCCUUGUACCCCGCCAUCGACCGACUAACAACGCUUCUGAAGUUCAGGGCUCAUCUCUUCACAGAAUUCCUUUCUAGAUCUCCUUUCUAUCUCUUCUAUUCUCUGGGGGGAAUUCCGUUAUACUCUGUCCAUUUCUCUGUUACCGCUUCCUGCCUCCCACCUCAUUCUACCUCUGAUGUCUCACUCAUCUUCCAAGGCCCAGUUCCCAGCUUAGUACUGGGAUUAUAAUAGAACCUUUAUAAAGACUUAUUGAAGAGGAGAUAGACAGACCCAGAGGUCCUCAGGAUUGGUCCCCUGCUGGCCUUUCCAGGGUCACCUUCACAUCACCACAAGCCCUCCCUGCUUCACAGAACGAAUGGAAGCGUGCCAAGCACACAGCGUUCUUUCAGGCCUCUGCCUUUGUCCAUUGCCUCUUUGGUCCAGGAUGCCUUUAUCCAUUCCUUCACAUGAUGGUUGUGAGCCACCACGCAAACCCUGAGAAUAAAACCAGGGUCUUCUGCUCUUAAGCAUUGAGCCAUUUCUCUAGUCCCAACAUUUUAAUCCUCAAUCUACCUUUUCCUAACUGCAGAACCGUGGCCAACCCCUGUGAGCCUGAGUUUCCUAACUUACCUUGUUCUCUUCCCCACAUGUAACCAUGCUGCAGUGGACUAGGUGUUAAGUAAAAUGUUAUUACUGUCUUGUGAACCUGUAGAUACGUGCUAGGGUUUACCUACUUUACUGACUGAGCAAUCUCCCCAGGCACUCUUAUUUUUUUUUAAUUACUUGUUUAAUUAUUUUUAACUUUUGGAAAAUGUUUUAGUUACAAACAUUUUAAGACAUUUAUAUGUCAAUAAAUAUGUACAAUUAAAAAUUUAAUAAGAAAAAUAUGUGAUAGGAAAGAGACAAAAGGUUAUAGUGGCUAAACUAUUUAUUUAUGUAUUUAUUUGUUGGGGUGUGUGUGUGUGUGUACUAGCAUGUGGAGGCCAGAGGUUGACAGUGACUUCGUCAAUCUUUCUUGAGACAAGGUUUACUCCUGAAUGUGGAGCUCAUCACCUGGUCUAGACUGGCUGUCCAGCAAGCCCCAAGGAUCCUCCUGUCUCUGCUUUCUCCACAUUGGAAUUAGAGAUGUGUACCCACAGUCAAACUAUUUAUAAACAAUUCCCUGAAAACCCGGUGUGUGCAUUUUCCGUGUGUGUUCU
Meriones unguiculatus (Mongolian gerbil) is the source of this 2480-nucleotide long non-coding RNA. RefSeq lists it as uncharacterized. NCBI's taxonomy places the organism in Eukaryota, Metazoa, Chordata, Mammalia, Rodentia, Muridae. The transcript is spliced from 3 exons. The record is from RefSeq and is a predicted model, not a curated record.